Molecule: ribosomal RNA, 878 nt
Filed under: Bacillus sp. (in: firmicutes)
Lineage: Bacteria; Bacillati; Bacillota; Bacilli; Caryophanales; Bacillaceae
Description: bacterial SSU rRNA
Rfam family: Bacterial small subunit ribosomal RNA
Source: RNAcentral
GACGGGUGAGUAACACGUGGGCAACCUGCCUGUAAGACUGGGAUAACUUCGGGAAACCGGAGCUAAUACCGGAUAAUCCUUUCCCUCACAUGAGGGAAAGCUGAAAGACGGUUUCGGCUGUCACUUACAGAUGGGCCCGCGGCGCAUUAGCUAGUUGGUGAGGUAACGGCUCACCAAGGCAACGAUGCGUAGCCGACCUGAGAGGGUGAUCGGCCACACUGGGACUGAGACACGGCCCAGACUCCUACGGGAGGCAGCAGUAGGGAAUCUUCCGCAAUGGACGAAAGUCUGACGGAGCAACGCCGCGUGAACGAUGAAGGCUUUCGGGUCGUAAAGUUCUGUUGUCAGGGAAGAACAAGUACCGGAGUAACUGCCGGUACCUUGACGGUACCUGACCAGAAAGCCACGGCUAACUACGUGCCAGCAGCCGCGGUAAUACGUAGGUGGCAAGCGUUGUCCGGAAUUAUUGGGCGUAAAGCGCGCGCAGGCGGUUCCUUAAGUCUGAUGUGAAAGCCCCCGGCUCAACCGGGGAGGGUCAUUGGAAACUGGGGAACUUGAGUGCAGAAGAGGAGAGCGGAAUUCCACGUGUAGCGGUGAAAUGCGUAGAGAUGUGGAGGAACACCAGUGGCGAAGGCGGCUCUCUGGUCUGUAACUGACGCUGAGGCGCGAAAGCGUGGGGAGCGAACAGGAUUAGAUACCCUGGUAGUCCACGCCGUAAACGAUGAGUGCUAAGUGUUAGAGGGUUUCCGCCCUUUAGUGCUGCAGCAAACGCAUUAAGCACUCCGCCUGGGGAGUACGGCCGCAAGGCUGAAACUCAAAGGAAUUGACGGGGGCCCGCACAAGCGGUGGAGCAUGUGGUUAAUUCGAAGCAACGCGAA